Molecule: ribosomal RNA, 748 nt
Filed under: uncultured Lachnospiraceae bacterium
Lineage: Bacteria; Bacillati; Bacillota; Clostridia; Lachnospirales; Lachnospiraceae
Description: bacterial SSU rRNA
Rfam family: Bacterial small subunit ribosomal RNA
Source: RNAcentral
GAUGAACGCUGGCGGCGUGCUUAACACAUGCAAGUCGAACGAAGCUGCCCAAAGGAAGUUUUCGGAUGGAAUUUAGGUAGACUUAGUGGCGGACGGGUGAGUAACGCGUGGAUAACCUGCCUUAUACAGGGGGAUAACGGAGAGAAAUUUCCGCUAAGACCGCAUAAGACCACAGCACCGCAUGGUGCAGGGGUAAAAUAUUUAUAGGUAUAAGAUGGAUCCGCGUCCGAUUAGCUUGUUGGUGAGGUAGAGGCUCACCAAGGCGACGAUCGGUAGCCGGCCUGAGAGGGUGAACGGCCACAUUGGGACUGAGACACGGCCCAAACUCCUACGGGAGGCAGCAGUGGGGAAUAUUGGACAAUGGGGGGAACCCUGAUCCAGCGACGCCGCGUGAGUGAAGAAGUAUUUCGGUAUGUAAAGCUCUAUCAGCAGGGAAGAAAAUGACGGUACCUGACUAAGAAGCCCCGGCUAACUACGUGCCAGCAGCCGCGGUAAUACGUAGGGGGCAAGCGUUAUCCGGAUUUACUGGGUGUAAAGGGAGCGCAGACGGCGAAGCAAGUCUGAAGUGAAAUGCAUGGGCUCAACCCAUGAAUUGCUUUGGAAACUGUUUGGCUUGAGUGUCGGAGGGGUAAGCGGAAUUCCUAGUGUAGCGGUGAAAUGCGUAGAUAUUAGGAGGAACACCGGAGGCGAAGGCGGCUUACUGGACGACAACUGACGUUGAGGCUCGAAGGCGUGGGGAGCAAACGGG